GCCAUCUACAAUGAAGGACCUGGAGGAGCAUGGCUUCGAGAUGGAGAUGGAGCUGGAGGAGGCUUCGGCACCCACGCCCUUGUUGUUGUUGUUGUUGGUGCACUGCAAUUCAAGGCUCAUUAUGUUCUCAUAAUACAGUGGGGCACAUGGUUGUGUCAUUCCAGACAUGUGGAUGUGGAGGGGAAGGCAGGAGAGAGUGAGGAUAGAGGGAGGCGAGGAAGAAUGGCGGAGGAGGAGGAGGAGACAUACCUCGGCAGGAACGCGGACGUAGAAGUCUCCGUAGGCGGAGUUGGAGGUUCUCCAGUGCAAUGGCUUGCAUGGUGCAGGUGGCAGCAGUUGCACUGGGAACCCAAACAGAUUGCGAGUUAAUUAUGCAAUUCUCUACGUCGACAGGAUUUGAUGCACCCUCGGUUCCAAUUUCAUUUCAUUUUCAUUCUCAUUUCAUGUCCAUGUUCAUGUUCUGUGAGGUUUAGUGGGAGUAUCUAUGUGUUGUUGUGAGUUUCCGUUACUUGGGUCUUGCAAAAGAGGCUCUCGAGCCACUAGGAGGAGGAUUUCUAGGUGUAGUUGACAUUCAGGAGGAUAUAACGAGGUUUUGUUUGUUAAUUUUGUUAUUUAUUCAUUUAUGUUUGGAUGGACCUAUUUCUCUCAUCGAGGGGUUUCAAGCUAUGUCUAGUAUAGUUCUCAAGGGCAUGGCAAGGGCCACCCUGGUGCGAUUGAACACACCACCUCAAAGGAUAAACAAGCAGCAUACAUCUUGAAUGAGGCAUACAUCUUGAAUGAGACCAGACAAGCAGGAUGCGUGUAAUUUUUUUUUGUCAGCUCUUGGGUUCACCUGAUCCAACAUGACCUGUUUUUCAGCAAUCCUUUUUCUGCAACCCACAAGUAGGAAAAAGGAUUCACACUCAUGAGCACGACCAUUCAACGGAUGCCCAUGUCGGACAUGCCUCAGAGACCUGUGACGAGGUUCAACAGCAACAAGUCUCAGAAUCCUUCAAGCAUUUGGUGAUCAAUAGAGGAUGUUGAGUAUGUACCCAUCGGUAGAGCCACCACUCAUCAGCCUUGCCAAGACGAACGGGUAACCCUAGCAAUGGCAGCAGGUGCUAUCACAACUUGUACUGACAUGGUUGGAUUAUCUGAGAAUCAUUCCUUUUCCAGCACCACUUAAGAAUCUUCUAUCAGUGGACUGCAACAGGCUGAGUUCAAGUCGUAGUGCAUGGCGUGGUCCUCGGCCCCCAAAUUGAUAUGGUAGUUCAAAGCUUGCAGGAAUCAUCUACAAUCAACUCAGCUGGCCAGUUGAACCUCGGGUCUCCACAUGAAGAGGCGAAAAGAACCAAGCAAGGCUUCUCAAGCGUGCUCUCAAACCGAUGAGAAGAUGGCGAUUCCUACAGCCGGUUCAUGGUGAUUCGGGGCACUCAUCGUUUGGCGGAUACGAAAGGCACCAGGGCAUGGGAAGAGGCAAGCCCGAUGAUGUCCAGUGAUGUCUCGGAGCUUUUUGACCAAAUUGGUGGCACUUGAAAGGACAAUUUCCAUUCAUGCGACCCUUGGGACCGUGGAAACAGAAAACUGUCACAUUCCCAACAGCGUUCAACAUCCGUAACUGUAUCAACUCCGCUGUAUCCGAUUGCGAUUUUCUCAACUGGCAAUCCAGAUGAGUGUACUUUCCACCCGUGAGUCAAUCCAACAUGAAAAAAUAGUAUGUACAUAUAUGUGUGUACGUAUAAAUUGUGGCUCAAAUUGUGGUAUAUUCACUUUUCUUAAUACUUUUCUCUAUUCUAUUUAGCCGCUGGAAAAGUUUUCUGUGCACUGGCAACACUAUUGCGAAUGUUGACACAAGUAAGCCGAUUGAAGAGAGGGUAUUUUGAAGUCAUCUAAAAGGAAUACAGGUAGAAUUUGCCGACCUCAUGAAAGUUUUCAUGCAGUGGGAAGAUGGAAUCCACAUGCAUCCAUCUUAUUACAAAAUAGAUUGAAGAUUUAGUUAAUUAGGCUCUGGUUUUCCGUGUGUGUCCGCUCAUGAGAUGAUUCCAGAAUAGGUUGUUUUCAUCUCCUGAACGUUGGAACAAUACAACUCUUGGGAAAUAUUGUAACCUGUGAGGUUCAGGAUGAUCAAAUGUUUGGUGUAAAAACUCCAACAUCAGAGUGGUGAUAUGGAUAAUAAUGAGCUGAGACAAAUGGGUGUUUCUGGGUGGCAAGUUUUCUGGUCUUUCGAUUAAGAUUAUUUUGAUUUCAUUACAGUUUCAACAAUCAAUUUUA
This is a non-coding RNA of Physcomitrium patens, 2250 nucleotides long. NCBI's taxonomy places the organism in Eukaryota, Viridiplantae, Streptophyta, Bryopsida, Funariales, Funariaceae. The record is from RefSeq and is a predicted model, not a curated record.